Molecule: ribosomal RNA, 164 nt
Filed under: uncultured bacterium
Lineage: Bacteria
Description: partial 16S rRNA
Rfam family: Bacterial small subunit ribosomal RNA
Source: RNAcentral
UAGGGAAUCUUCCACAGUGGACGAAAGUCUGAUGGAGCAACGCCGCGUGAGUGAAGAAGGUUUUCGGAUCGUAAAGCUCUGUUGUUGGUGAAGAAGGAUAGAGGCAGUAACUGGUCUUUAUUUGACGGUAAUCAACUAGAAAGUCACGGCUAACUACGUGCCAC